UACGUAGGGUGCGAGCGUUAAUCGGAAUUACUGGGCGUAAAGCGUGCGCAGGCGGUUUUGUAAGCCAGAUGUGAAAGCCCCGGGCUCAACCUGGGAAUGGCAUUUGGGACUGCAAGGCUUGAGUGCGGCAGAGGAGACUGGAAUUCCUGGUGUAGCAGUGAAAUGCGUAGAUAUCAGGAGGAACACCGAUGGCGAAGGCAGGUCUCUGGGCUGAAACUGACGCUCAUGCACAAAAGCGUGGGGAGCAAACAGG
RNAcentral lists this ribosomal RNA (253 nucleotides) under uncultured bacterium. RNAcentral describes it as "partial 16S ribosomal RNA". It matches the Rfam family "Bacterial small subunit ribosomal RNA", at positions 524 to 776 of the family's 1533-position model. The record is from RNAcentral.